Molecule: ribosomal RNA, 505 nt
Filed under: uncultured bacterium
Lineage: Bacteria
Description: partial 16S ribosomal RNA
Rfam family: Bacterial small subunit ribosomal RNA
Source: RNAcentral
GACGAACGCUGGCGGCGUGCCUAAUACAUGCAAGUAGAACGCACAGUUUAUACCGUAGCUUGCUACACCAUAGACUGUGAGUUGCGAACGGGUGAGUAACGCGUAGGUAACCUGCCUGGUAGCGGGGGAUAACUAUUGGAAACGAUAGCUAAUACCGCAUAAUAUUGAUUAUUGCAUGAUAAUUGAUUGAAAGAUGCUAUUGCAUCACUACCAGAUGGACCUGCGUUGUAUUAGCUAGUAGGUGAGGUAACGGCUCACCUAGGCGACGAUACAUAGCCGAGCUGGGAGGGUGAUCGGCCACACCGGGACUGGGACACGGCCCAAACUCCUACGGGGGGGAGCCGUAGGGAAUCUUCGGAAAAGGACGAAAGUCUGACCGAGCAACGCCGCGGGGGUGAAGGAGGUUUUCGGAUCGUAAAGCUCUGUUGUAAGAGAAGAACGGGUGUGAGAGUGGAAAGUUCACACUGUGACGGUACCUUACCAGAAAGGGACGGCUAACUACGUG